Molecule: ribosomal RNA, 395 nt
Filed under: uncultured bacterium
Lineage: Bacteria
Description: bacterial SSU rRNA
Rfam family: Bacterial small subunit ribosomal RNA
Source: RNAcentral
GACGAACGCUGGCGGCGUGCUUAACACAUGCAAGUCGAGCGGUAAGGCCCUUUCGGGGGUACACGAGCGGCGAACGGGUGAGUAACACGUGGGUGACCUGCCCUUAGCUCUGGGAUAAGCCUGGGAAACUGGGUCUAAUACCGGAUAUGACUCCAUGACGCAUGUUGUGGGGUGGAAAGCCUUGUGCGGCUAGGGAUGGGCCCGCGGCCUAUCAGCUUGUUGGUGGGGUGAUGGCCACCAAGGCGACGACGGGUAGCCGGCCUGAGAGGGCGACCGGCCACACUGGGACUGAGACACGGCCCAGACUCCUACGGGAGGCAGCAGUGGGGAAUCUUGCGCAAUGGGCGAAAGCCUGACGCAGCGACGCCGCGUGAGGGAUGACGGCCUGGUGUAAC